AUGAUCUUUGUUUUCUCUUUCUUUUUAUUUUUAUUUGUUUCGAGAAAGAUAUCGUCUGAUUCUCCUUCUAUUGAUUCUUUCCGAUCAAGAUGUACGGAUCCAUGUGUCUACAUACAUAGAUUUUAUUCAUGGAUUAAUACAAACGUGCAAGAGUUCUAUUUGCCUCUACCAUUCUAUGAGUCGCUUCCUUUUUUCGUAUGGCACUCUCACUCCCUUUGGCAGCAUCUACUAAUCCGGAACUUAAUUUAA
RNAcentral lists this ribosomal RNA (249 nucleotides) under Triticum aestivum (bread wheat). RNAcentral describes it as "partial small subunit ribosomal RNA". The record is from RNAcentral. Lineage: Eukaryota; Viridiplantae; Streptophyta; Magnoliopsida; Poales; Poaceae.